ACGGGAGGCAGCAGUAGGGAAUAUUGCACAAUGGGGGAAACCCUGAUGCAGCGACGCCGCGUGAGUGAUGAAGUAUUUCGGUACGUAAAGCUCUAUCAGCAGGGAAGAUAAUGACGGUACCUGACUAAGAAGCCCCGGCUAACUACGUGCCAGCAGCCGCGGUAAUACGUAGGGGGCAAGCGUUAUCCGGAUUUACUGGGUGUAAAGGGAGUGUAGGUGGUCUGGCAAGUCAGAUGUGAAAGCCCGCGGCUCAACCGCGGGACUGCAUUUGAAACUGUCAGACUGGAGUGCAGGAGAGGAAAGUGGAAUUCCUAGUGUAGCGGUGAAAUGCGUAGAUAUUAGGAGGAACACCAGUGGCGAAGGCGGCUUACUGGACGAUAACUGACGUUGAGGCUCGAAAGCGUGGGGAGCAAACAGGAUUAGAUACCCUGGUA
This 434-nucleotide ribosomal RNA is filed under the name uncultured Clostridium sp. Its description in RNAcentral is "partial 16S ribosomal RNA". It matches the Rfam family "Bacterial small subunit ribosomal RNA", at positions 341 to 792 of the family's 1533-position model. Lineage: Bacteria; Bacillati; Bacillota; Clostridia; Eubacteriales; Clostridiaceae. The record is from RNAcentral.